AUAGUAAUCAGAAGAAAAGGUGUCACGAAUUUGACUUAAUAGGGAAUCCGGAAAAAGCCGGAGCUGUCCCCGCAACUGUUUUGUGGACGAAAUGAGAAACCACUGUACGUAAUUCGUACGGGAAGGCUCAGAGUAGGAUGAAGCAUAAGCCAGUAGACCUGCCUUUUCUUCUGUGUUUUG
RNAcentral lists this non-coding RNA (180 nucleotides) under Fictibacillus macauensis. Lineage: Bacteria; Bacillati; Bacillota; Bacilli; Caryophanales; Fictibacillaceae. RNAcentral also lists the same sequence under 1 other name. The record is from RNAcentral.